This 351-nucleotide unclassified non-coding RNA is filed under the name soil metagenome. Its description in RNAcentral is "partial contains 5.8S ribosomal RNA, internal transcribed spacer 2, and large subunit ribosomal RNA". The stretch from base 1 to 119 matches the Rfam family "5.8S ribosomal RNA", at positions 35 to 154 of the family's 154-position model. The record is from RNAcentral.
GAUGAAGAACGCAGCGAAAUGCGAUACGUAAUGUGAAUUGCAAAUUCAGUGAAUCAUCGAAUCUUUGAACGCACAUUGCGCCCGCCAGUAUUCUGGCGGGCAUGCCUGUUCGAGCGUCAUUACAACCCUCAGGCCCCCGGGCCUGGCGUUGGGGAUCGGCGGAGCCCCCCGUGGGCACACGCCGUCCCCCAAAUACAGUGGCGGUCCCGCCGCAGCUUCCAUCGCGUAGUAGCUAACACCUCGCGACUGGAGAGCGGCGCGGCCACGCCGUAAAACACCCAACUCUUCUGAAGUUGACCUCGAAUCAGGUAGGAAUACCCGCUGAACUUAAGCAUAUCAAUAAGCGGAGGA